This 647-nucleotide unclassified non-coding RNA is filed under the name Hevea brasiliensis (rubber tree). Lineage: Eukaryota; Viridiplantae; Streptophyta; Magnoliopsida; Malpighiales; Euphorbiaceae. The record is from RNAcentral.
AAAGUUGAAACGAUCCAAGGGCGGAAUUUUCCUGCCAAACUUCCUCUGUUUCUUCCCUCCUCCUCUACGUAUAUAAACUGCUAUGGCGAUGAAGCUUGUGUAGAAGAUGGAGAAGAGGAUUUUUGGGAAAGAAGAUUUGAGUGUUAAUAUGGGUUUCCCAGUUCAUAGUCAAGUGAUUAAGAUCAAGCAAGAAUCAAAUAAAAUCAUAGAUUGGUCUGCAGGGCAACAGGAGAUGAGACCUGUUCUUAAAGAAAUCUCCGGUGUUCGCCAUAUCUCUCGUUCUCCUUUGGGAUUAGCUACAAGACCCGUAUCCGUUGGCGAUUCAUAGAAUACAGUAACGUUUCUAUUGGAGGAUAUCGUUUUGAUCCUAUCUGGUUUUAUGCUAGAUCCUCUGUUUUUUUCUCUUUUUUUUUCAUAGUUUUCUUAGGUUCCUUCUGUUCAUGUAAAUAUUAUCUUUGAAUAUAUAUAUAUAUUUUUUAUGGGAAAUUGAUGGACUGGUGGAGAGUGGCGAGUGGAGAGGAAAUGGAUGAUAUUGACCUUUGUUUUAUGUGUAGUUACUCAUAAUUUUUCAAUUUUGAGGGAUUCAUACAGUUUGGUUUUGUUCUAUUUCUCAUAAUUCUCUGUUUUUUCUUUAUUUUUCUUUAUCA